AACGAACGCUGGCGGCAUGCCUAACACAUGCCAGUCGAACGAGACCUUCGGGUCUAGUGGCGCACGGGUGCGUAACGCGUGGGAACCUGCCCUUAGGUUCGGAAUAACUCCCCGAAAGGGGUGCUAAUACCGGAUAAUGUCUUCGGACCAAAGAUUUAUCGCCUUUGGAUGGGCCCGCGUUGGAUUAGCUAGUUGGUAGGGUAAAAGCCUACCAAGGCGACGAUCCAUAGCUGGUCUGAGAGGAUGAUCAGCCACACUGGGACUGAGACACGGCCCAGACUCCUACGGGAGGCAGCAGUGGGGAAUAUUGGACAAUGGGCGAAAGCCUGAUCCAGCAAUGCCGCGUGAGUGAUGAAGGCCUUAGGGUUGUAAAGCUCUUUUACCCGGGAUGAUAAUGUCAGUACCGGGAGAAUAAGCUCCGGCUAACUCCGUG
RNAcentral lists this ribosomal RNA (433 nucleotides) under uncultured bacterium. Its description in RNAcentral is "partial 16S ribosomal RNA". It matches the Rfam family "Bacterial small subunit ribosomal RNA", at positions 29 to 507 of the family's 1533-position model. The record is from RNAcentral.